This 254-nucleotide ribosomal RNA is filed under the name uncultured bacterium. RNAcentral's name for it is "partial 16S ribosomal RNA". It matches the Rfam family "Bacterial small subunit ribosomal RNA", at positions 524 to 776 of the family's 1533-position model. The record is from RNAcentral.
UACGUAGGGUGCGAGCGUUGUCCGGAAUUAUUGGGCGUAAAGAGCUCGUAGGCGGUCUGCCGCGUCGAUCGUGAAAACUUGGGGCUUAACCCUGAGCUUGCGGUCGAUACGGGCAUGACUGGAGUUCGGCAGGGGAGACUGGAAUUCCUGGUGUAGCGGUGAAAUGCGCAAAUAUCAGGAGGAACACCGGUGGCGAAGGCGGGUCUCUGGGCCGAUACUGACGCUGAGGAGCGAAAGCGUGGGGAGCGAACAGG